RNAcentral lists this long non-coding RNA (4970 nucleotides) under Panax ginseng (ginseng). Its description in RNAcentral is "long non-coding RNA (PGIN_LNC006849)". The record is from RNAcentral. Lineage: Eukaryota; Viridiplantae; Streptophyta; Magnoliopsida; Apiales; Araliaceae.
CAAAUUUCAAACCCUCUAUCUCUCUCUGUUCUUACACACACAGAGCUGAGAGAUAACACGGAGCUUGAAAAAAACAAACAAAACACACAGAUAGAAACGCGAAGCAGAAGAAGAAGUUGAAGAGAGAGAAACACGAGAUCAACGAAGAUCUAAGACCUUCUCCUCUUGGCUCUCCUCUUCCUCGACACCUUAGGUCUUGCUGAUCGACUUCCCUAUGGACGAGAUUAUCUUGGUAUUUCUUCAAUUUUAGUUUAGUUUCUUACAAAAUGUAUGAAAUUCUAGAAGAAUAAGAACACAUUGUCUAAGGGUUUAGCUUUAUUGGGUUUAUAGGAUUCUUGAUUUGGUUGAAUCUGAAUUUUUUGAAAUUUUCUUAUUUUAGGGUUUCUUUUGAUUGGUUUGAUGUUUACAAUUAUGUUUCUUGGUUAAAUUGAUCAGCAUUUCAUCUUGGGCUUCCCUUUGUGCAGAGUUAUCUUGGGCAGACUGGCUCUGUUGAAGAUUUGAUUCAUGGAGUGAAUUAAAACUUCAUCAUCCAGUGGAUUGAGGAGAGAUAUAAAAUAGAGUGGCUUCAAUAUUUCUCAUUUCCCCCCAAUUCAACCCAUCGGGCAAAUAGUCGUCGUCUGGUGGAAUCUGUGAGUUGAGUGCGAUAGAUACAGAUCGUCUUCGUCAAUUUUAUUCUACUGUGAUACCACUCUCUGGCUCUUCCAUCGAUGAUGACGCUUAUUCCGCUUCUUCUUCUCAUCACUUCGGCCGUCGGGUUACUUCUCUUUCCCCUUUCUUUACUUCUAUACAUGUACAAGCUUGAUUUUGCUUUUAAUUUUUUAAAUGAUUUGCCUAAUUUUUUUAAUUUUGAUGAAUUAUUUAUCUGGUUGAGUAUGUAUAGUCAUGACCUUUUAGAAAACAACUCAAUUCCGUUCAUUCCUCAUCUCUGUCACUUCCUUCCUUCCCUCUUUUCACUGUGUACAUGUCCAUAAAGUAAACCAUAGAUUAGUACAUCUGCAUAUCUUACAUAAAAAAUACCAUAAAAAUUCUGAUAAGAGACGAAUUGAAUUUUGCUCAGAUCAUCUGAAUGAAGCUUUAAAUUUUGUUAGCAGAUACUAGAGAGAGAAAGAUAAGAAGGGUAGUAAAUAAUACAGUAGUAGUAAUAAUAUUAAAUUUCAUCACAUUUCUUGUGAAAUUAAAAAGGGUUUUCUUUCCUUUUGCUUGUACCCAUUGUUGAGUAAAGCUUCAAUUUCGCGUAUAACUUAUAGCAUUUCACAUGUUAAGCAUCAAAAAAGGGGGGAAAUUGAGUGAUUGGGAGAGAGAAAUGUGUAAUUCAUUGAAAAAUGUUGGAUCAGGAAUUGGUUCCUGGUUGCGCGAAAAAAUUCUCGAUCCUCUGCUCCAAAUCCUGCAAAGGUACUUUUAAUUUUUAUUUGUUUAUGUAUAGAUAGAUACGUGUACUAUGUGUUUUUGUGUAAUAGUUAGAUUGCAUCUUUUAGUAAUUAAUAAUGUGUAUCUUUUUUGUUUGUCUAUUUAGUGGCUUGCUAAAUUAUCUGAUUCCUACAUAGUAUGUGUAGCCUUGGUGUUUUUUUAUUUGUUGUUAAUUGUUUGGCUGGGGGAAAAAGACAUUUUUGAAAAUUUUGGUAUAGUUUUCAUUCCAGACCUUUAAGUUGGAGAUAAGAUUGCAAAUAAUCUAGCUAAUGGGAGCAUUCAUUAAACUUCAAAAUUCAUGUUAGGGUGGAAAGUAGGUAAAAUUCAAGGGGUAAAUCACUGAAGUAAUCUUGUAAGCUAUUGUUUUAACAUUUUUCCCCAGAAAAAUAACUUCCGAACAAAAACCAAACAACUCAAGAUAACACAAGAUCAUAGGAGCCUGCAUAUAUAUUAAAAAAAAUCAAAUAGUAGAACCUAGGCACUAUGCAUUAGUUCUAACAUAUAUCCAUACCAAAUACUUAUCUCAUCUCCUAGGAACCAUUGUUCUGUACUUUGUUGUAAUUACUAAACACAAUAUCAAAGCAAUGCGUAGUAAAUGUGAAUAGGGUGUUAGUGUCCACAAUAUUUAAGUUACAAAGCUUCGAUAACAUCGUAACAGUUCUUUUAGAUUUUAACUAAAAAGUCAAGAAGUUGUUUUCUUUACUGCAUAAUUGUACUGGUAUAUUCAUUCAUCAAAAAAUAAAAAAUAUACAACAUGAACAUACUUUUAAUGUUUAUCCCUGGUUUUCAAACUAUCAGAUAUGCUCCACAGCUGCCCCUGGUUGUCCAGCACUGUCCUAACAGAGCUAAAAAUUGACAUAAGUCAGCAGCACCAAGUAGGCAGAGUUGAUAUUAUUUAUAACAAGAAAAAUAAAAUAACCCAGCAAAGUUUUAUGCGUAUCCUGCACGAAUGAAGAGUUGGGAGCAAGCAUUAUGUCUGUAGGGUAAGAAUUAUUCGUGAAGGCCAAGUAAAUUUCCUCUAGAAAUCAAAUACUCAAUCUUCUAUUAUAAAAGUAAGGAUCUUAUAAAACUAAGUGAUCUUAUAAAACUAAGGAUCUUAUACAACUAAGGAUAUUAUAAAGUAGAGAAAACAUAUCCAAUAUGCACUAUGUGAUUGCUGAAUGCAAAAAAUUUGACAAAAUUACUCAAAAAGCAUAAGCAGCAAGUACAUCAACACUGAAGGAUCUCAUAAAUAAAGAUUGAAAUACACCAACCUUUUACAAGAUUGACGUUUUGAGUUGAUAGUUCGUCAAAAUAUAAUAUUUCCUCCAUUCCUAAAAGAUUGAGUUUUAGAAAGUAAUUUUUGUUCUUAAAAGAUUGAUAUAAUAUCUCUACUUUCUCCUAUUUAAAGCUUUCUCCUAUUUAUAAUAUCUCUACUUUAUUCUUAUUUAAAGCUUUCUCCUAUUUAUUGUUGAAUAUAGCAUUGGGAUACAAAGUAUAAUUAAUUGAAUGGUAUACUCCUUUUUGGAAUCUACCAAGAUAAUAAUUGGCUGAGACAAUUAUAACAAGGGUAGUACAGUACUUUCUAUAGAUCUUAAGUUCAUUCCUUAAUCUAUGUGAAUAAACUUUAAACGGCAAUCUUUUAGAAACAGAGGGAGUAGUUGGUAAUUAUAAAUUGUUGAAAAAUGACAACUUAUUGACUAAUUUAGUAAUUACUUUUGAAAAAAAUAGAAAAAACUUAAUAAUAAAUUAGACAUGUUUUGAAUUUCUUUCUCUUUAUUUUUAAACAAAAAAGAAAUAUAAAAAUGAUUCUUACUAUUCUUUUCUUAGACAAAGUAACCACUUUUUUUUUAUAAUAGUAAUAAAAAAAGACAAUGAAAAUAUAAAAGAUGUUAAAAAGUCUAUUAAUAUUGAUAAACCGUAAGUAAUUUUAAAAAAAGAUAAUACACUUAAUCUAUGUAUAUGUGUGUUUGUAUGACAGAAGGAUCUCAUAAAUAAAGAUUGAAGUACGCCAACCUUUUACAAGGGGUUCCAACUUGGACUGCAACUAAUCAAUGUUUUUUUACAGGUAAUCCAUGCAAUAUAUAAGGCUUAUAUGACGAGGUCAGUUAAAGCAACUAUGUUGAUUAUAUCACGUUCUAGUCUAAUUUUUUGAUGAUGACUUAUUCAUUGGUACUAAAUUCUUCAUUAUGAAUUUCAGGAAAUUGUUUCAAGAAUUGUAUGAUGGAUUAUUCAAGAAGAAUGAAGACAUUUUGAGUCUUAAGAAAAAUAUGUAAGGUCAUUGCAAAUAUUUAAUUUUUCAAUUCAAGGCUCUAGGACAUUUUAGGUGUGCAUUUAAGUUGAUUAAAAAAAUUAAUGUUUCGUACAUGCUUAAUUUUAUGCUAACUGUUAUUACAUGAUUUAUUAUUAUACAUGCGUAAAAUGAUAAUUAUCCAGUUUAAUUGAAUUAUAUUACAUGUGUUAUAAGAGAGUUCUGAUUCUAUAUAAGCUGUAUAACAUGUGUGUAAUUUGUUGGAAGCACUAAAGCUUGUGGCGGUAAAGAUGUGAUCAUUAUCUGUUAGUUGAAUUAAAUACCCAAGUCUUGGGAAUAUAAGAUAAUGAUUAUCCUAGAGAGUUGUGUGAUAUUACACUUUCUUAUAUUUACAAAGUUAACACUCCAUUAUUUUUUGAAAGGCAGUAAUAUCUCUUAAACAAUUGUGGCGACAGUUUGUUUUUAAUCAUAUUUGCUACAGGUCUAGUCCUAUUUGACUUGGUCUCUAUCUAGAUUAUUUUUGAGAGAGUCUAACAUUUAUCCGAAGGUUAUUGGAUUUGUUAUGUUUAUUUUCAACAGAAAAUCAUUGGAACGUUGCAUUUUUAUUUUCAACGUAAAUUUUUAUGAAGCAACGGUAAUAUAUUUUCUGGUCUAUAAAAGGAACUAAGAUCAGUAUUGAAAACAACACUUACAACACUUAAAUUAAUAUUUUUGCACUCAUAUACUUUGGAAGCUAUUCUAUUCUUGGUGCAAAUUUUGAGCUGCUGAUCAAUUGAUAUUUUCAGUCAACUUUCAUGAGCUUCAUAUUGGUGAUAUCUAUCUUUUAUUACUUGAUCAUUGCAUUCACUAGUUGAGUCUUGCAUUGUUAAAUUGCUUAUUUGCUUUGAUCAUUAGACCUCUAUUAUUGUAAUCUUAAUUUGUUUUUAGACUAAGUGUUGUCUAAGGGAACAUAAUCCAGGUGGAUUAAGGUUUGUUUACAAACAGGUUCAAGGAAGCAUAGGUGCUUAAGGAGUGCAUUGGUGCACAAGGAGCAAGAGUGCUCAAGUGAAUUUUUGUAAUUCAAUUUUAUAAAAUCUGUUUUGUAACAAGAGUAUUUUAAAGAAAUAAAAGUGAGUCUCCAAUACUAGUUGGUAUUGGACGUGGAGUAGGCUAUAAUUAUAGAGGGUAAUAGUCGAACCACGUAAAAGAUCUUGGUGUUAAUUUUUUUAUUACUUGCUUUAACUUAAUAUUUCUAAAGCUAAUUGAAUUGCUUAAUAAAUAGAAUUUAUUUAUUUGUUACAUCGUGAGAAUUUGUGUUAACAUUAAAUAUUCUGUUUAACUUAUAAAAUCACCA